GCUCCAAUAGCGUAUAUUUAAGUUGUUGCAGUUAAAAAGCUCGUAGUUGGAUUUCGGUUGAGAGCGGCCGGUCCGCCGUUUGGUGUGCACUGGCUGGUUUCAACUUCCUGCGGAGGACGCGCUCUGGGCUUAACGGUCUGGACGUGGAGUCCGCGUGGUUACUUUGAAAAAAUUAGAGUGUUCAAAGCUGGGACUUGACG
RNAcentral lists this ribosomal RNA (200 nucleotides) under uncultured eukaryote. RNAcentral describes it as "partial 18S ribosomal RNA". It matches the Rfam family "Eukaryotic small subunit ribosomal RNA", at positions 588 to 793 of the family's 1831-position model. The record is from RNAcentral.